GGUUUUGGCCAUUGUAAGUCUAGCCUGCUCACUGACAAAAAGUGUUAAAUAGCCGCGGUAUUUUGACCGUGCAAAGGUAGCAUAAUCAUUAGUUUUUUAAUUGGAAACUUGUAUGAAUGGUUGGACAAAGAAAAGACUGUCUCUUUUAUUAAAAUUGAAAUUAACUUCUAAGUGAAAAGGCUUAGAUUUUCUAGAGGGACGAUAAGACCCUAUAAAGCUUCAUAAGUUAAAUAAAUUAGAUGGAUUUUUAGAAUAAAAGUAAAUUUAGUAAGCUUAUUUAGUUGGGGCGACAAGGGUAUAAAAUUAAAUAACUGCUAUUAAGGUUAGACAAUUAUAUUUGGUUGGAUUGUAAUUGAUCCUCGCUAUGGAUUAAAAGAUUAAGUUACUUUAGGGAUAACAGCGUAAUUUCUUUUAAGAGUUCUUAUCAAAGGAGAAGUUUGCGACCUCGAUGUUGAAUUAAAAUGUCUUUAUAGUGCAGAAGCUAUAAAAGAAGGUCUGUUCGACCUUUAAUUUUUUACAUGAUCUGAUGCAAGACCGAGGAA
RNAcentral lists this ribosomal RNA (542 nucleotides) under Scylla tranquebarica (purple mud crab). RNAcentral's name for it is "partial 16S ribosomal RNA". It matches the Rfam family "Archaeal large subunit ribosomal RNA", at positions 1929 to 2692 of the family's 2987-position model. The record is from RNAcentral. Lineage: Eukaryota; Metazoa; Arthropoda; Malacostraca; Decapoda; Portunidae.